This 372-nucleotide ribosomal RNA is filed under the name uncultured organism. RNAcentral describes it as "partial 16S ribosomal RNA". It matches the Rfam family "Bacterial small subunit ribosomal RNA", at positions 527 to 896 of the family's 1533-position model. The record is from RNAcentral.
GUAGGUGGCAAGUGUUGUCCGGAAUUAUUGGGCGUAAAGCGCGCGCAGGCGGUCCUUUAAGUCUGAUGUGAAAGCCCACGGCUCAACCGUGGAGGGUCAUUGGAAACUGGGGGACUUGAGUACAGAAGAGGAAAGCGGAAUUCCAAGUGUAGCGGUGAAAUGCGUAGAGAUUUGGAGGAACACCAGUGGCGAAGGCGGCUUUCUGGUCUGUAACUGACGCUGAGGCGCGAAAGCGUGGGGAGCAAACAGGGAUUAGAUACCCUGGUAGUCCACGCCGUAAACGAUGAGUGCUAAGUGUUAGGGGGUUUCCCGCCCCUUAGUGCUGCAGCUAACGCAUUAAGCACUCCGCCUGGGGAUACGGCCGCAAGGCUG